Molecule: long non-coding RNA, 399 nt
Filed under: Salvia miltiorrhiza (redroot sage)
Lineage: Eukaryota; Viridiplantae; Streptophyta; Magnoliopsida; Lamiales; Lamiaceae
Description: long non-coding RNA (SMIL_LNC009028)
Source: RNAcentral
UUAGAUUUAAGAUGAUUCACGCCGGAUUAAGAAAAAGAAUUUACUUUAAUUCCAACAAAAAUGAUUUACACAAAAAAAAAAAAAAAAACACAUUUGUAAAUUUAGUUAUUAAAUUUAUAUGCAUUGAAUAUUUAUUUAAUUUAACAUUUAGCAUCUACACGAGCUAUUUGUUUAAGCAAAAAACUGAACGAUUAUUACAGUUUUCAUAGUAUAACCCGGAAGACUUUAUUUUAUUAUAUUUUAUUUCUUCACCUAAUUCCCACAUCUACCUACUCUUCCACCUCCAUGACAGCCAUGCCACCUUCCUUUACACCUCUUUUCCACCUCCAUGACAGCCCUUUACACUUAACAUCAUCAUCAAAUUCCUGCAGCCAAGUUCUCCAUUUUCCAUCCUCCACU